ACACAGGUGAUGUUCCUUAAAUCCUUAACUCCCAGAAGGACAGAAUUGCAUCAGAACCUCCACUUUCAGCUCACUUCACCUCAUCUCACCUCUUACCUGGGCCAGGACAAGUGCUGUCCAUCUCACCCUUCAUGGAGAACACUGCACAAGAGGAGUCGAGGACACCACCCUGUCUGCUGUGAGGUCCCCAGCUUGUCCACCUGGGAAUUGUAAAAUUCCAUGUACAGGACCUGGGCAUGCUCGAGACCAGGGAGUGUAACACCCCAGUCUGCCCAGUGAUGGAAAGUUAGAAACUGGAAAUGUACCUGGAUGCCACCCUGAGUCAGCCCAAACCGAAG
Long non-coding RNA from Passer montanus (Eurasian tree sparrow), 338 nucleotides. RefSeq lists it as uncharacterized. The record is from RefSeq and is a predicted model, not a curated record. Lineage: Eukaryota; Metazoa; Chordata; Aves; Passeriformes; Passeridae. The transcript has 3 exons.